Molecule: ribosomal RNA, 121 nt
Filed under: Petromyzon marinus (sea lamprey)
Lineage: Eukaryota; Metazoa; Chordata; Hyperoartia; Petromyzontiformes; Petromyzontidae
Source: RNAcentral
ACCUAUCUCAAAAUCACCCAGAACACACCCGAUAUUGUCAGAUCUCAGAAGCUAAGCAGGUGGAAGCCUGGAAAUUGCUUGGAACAGGCGACCAGCAAUCAGAACAUAGAUGUUAUAGGCU